GUGCAGGCGGCCAAUAUCUGGGCCAAAGUCUCCUAAAGGCCUGGAAUCUCAAUGGGCACAGCUGGUGCAUGAGCUGAUCCUAUCGGCUCAUCUAUAUCCGAAAUCUGCUCCUGAGCUGGAACAACUGGUGGUACUACAGGUGCUGGUCCAACUGUGGUACAAGCUACACCUUGAACUCUACCUCAGCCCCGGACUCUACCAUGGCCCCGGCCUCUCACGGCCCUAACUGGUGGCACUGAUGGCUGACCGUCUGAUCCGGUAGUACGUGUCCUCACCAUCUGUGAGAGAAUAGAAUAGCAGAAAUUUAGUUUCAAGAAUCAACAAAUUCGCACCACAGAAUAGAAAAAAGUGAAAUUUUCCUAAGGGUUCUGCAGCCUCUCGAAUAUAAGUACAGACGUCUCCGUACCGAUCCGCAAGACUCUACUAAACCUACUCAUGACUCGUGAGACCUAUAUAUCCUAGGCUCUGAUACCAACUUGUCACGACCCAAAAUCCUAACCCGUCGUGAUGACGCAUAUCUCGAUACUAGGCAAGCCGAAAAUCUCGAUAAACCAUAAUUUCUCUUAAGCUUGAAAAUACAAUACAAAAUCCCACAAAUACUGACACGAACACUCCCCAAAACCUAGUGUCACUGAGUACAUGAGCAUCUAAUAUGAAUACAAGGAGAUAGAGAAGGAGAGACAAGGUCUGCAGAAUACGGCAGCUACCUCAGAAUCUCCUGAAAAUCAACUGCACAAAAUGAUCAACACCUGCUAUGUCCGAGAACACCUGGAUCUACACACGAAGUGCAGGGUGUAGUAUGAGUACAACCAACUCAGCAAGUAACAAUAACAACUAAGAAACAGAAAAUAAUGACGAGCUACACAGUUAUAGUUCACUUUUAGUAAUUCCAGCAAAGAAUAGACAUGCUUUCAAAUCCGGCAGUUUAAGUCAAAUCAAUUUUAUAUAGUUCAAUUUCAUGUAAUCCGGAUAUAAAAUAUUUCAGAGAUUUCAGAACAAUGACAGAUAGCAAUCAAGUGCAAUAACAAAUGCAAAGCAAGUACAGCCUCUUAGGCGACAAUCACUCAACUCAUCACAACAACUCAACCACUCAGCUCUCAUCCCUCAGCACUUUCACUCAAUGGGUACCCGCACUCACUGGGGGGUGUACAUACUCCGGAAGGGCUCCUACAGCCCAAAUGCCAUAAUCUGCAUGGACAACUCAUGUGCUAUAAUAUCAUGCACGGACAACUCACGUGCCAUAAUAUCCUUACCACACUGACAUGCCCUCGGCCUUACUCAGUCCUCAACCUUUCUAGUCUCUCGGGCUCUCAGAAAUCACAAAGAUCAGCCCAAAAAAAUAACAUAGUGUAUCGACAAAUAUCUAGAAAAGACUGAGGUAUAAUACGCAAGAAAAAUCAUGACUGAGUACAAGACGGCAAUUAGCAAAUAAUUCAACAAGUACGCGACCUCGAUGGGUCCCAACAGUACUAUCACAUAGCCUAAGCAUGAUUUCUAACAUGAUUUAUUGUCAAAUUGCUUCAACACAUAAAGAGCAUAUAGCUAACAACAAAUUAUUCAACUUUACAGUUUCACGGGACGGACCAAGUCACAAUCCCCUCGGUGCACACCCAUACGUCUGUCACCUAGCAUGUGCGUCACCUCCAAAAUAAUCACAUAACAUUAAAUUUGGGGUUUCAUACCCUCAGGACCAGAUUUAUAACUGUUACUUACCUCAGAGCGUGAAAUUCUUCACUCUACUAUGCCUUUGCCUCGCAAAUCGGCCUCUGAAUGCCUCGAAUCUAGUCACAACUAAUUCGUUUUAGUCAAUAAACUUAUUGAAAUUAAUUCCAUAUGAAAAAAUAUAAUUUUCCAUAAAAAUCUGAAUUUAGCUCAAUAAUCGCCCGUGGGGCCCACAUCUUGGAACCCGGAAAAAGUUAUAAAAUCCGAAAGUCCAUUUAACCACGAGUCUACCCAUACCAAUUUUUCCAAAAUCCGACCUCAACUCGACCCUCAAAUCUAUAAAUCUUAUUUCCAAAUUUCUAAGUUCCAAUCUUCGAUUUACACCUCAAAAUCAUGUAAUCUAGUCGGAUUAUUCAAUGAUAAUUCAAUAUUAUGGAGUAGAAAUGAUCACAAGGGACUUACCUCAAGUUUUUCUUGAAAAUAUAUCAAAAAUCGCCUCUCCUCAAGUUCCAAUUUGUCAAAAAUGGCGAAUGGGACGAAGUCCCUGUUUUUAUAAUUCUGCUCAGUCACCCUCGGUUUUGCCUCGAUCUUGGCCUUCGAUCGAGGUCCUCGAUCCUGGGCCUCGACUCUGACCCUCGAUCCUGGCCCUCGAUCAUGGCCCUCGACCCUGUCCUUCGAUCAUGUCUUCGACCCUGGUCUUCGAGCCUGCCUUCGAUCGUGGCCCUCGACCCUGGGCUAGAUCGUGGCUUCGAUCCUGAUCCUCGACCCUGCCUUCGAUCGUGGCCCUCGACCCUGGCUCGAUCGUGGCUUGAUUUUGGGCUCGAUUCUGGCAGAAGAAAUUUCCAGCAGAAGGAAAUUGCAGCAGUUGUUGUAGUUCAAUUUUUGAUCUGUUAACCAUCCGAAACUUACCCGAAGCCCUCGGGACCUCAACCAAAUAUACCAACAAGUCCUAAAAUAUCAUACGAAUUUAGUCUAAUCCUCAAAUCACCUCAAACAAUGCUAAAACCAUGAAUUACACCCAAAUUCAAGCUUAUUGAACUUUAAAAUUUUUAAUUUCUACAAAUGACUCUGGAACUUGCCAAAUCACGUCCGAUUGACAUCAAAGUUUUCACACAAGUCAUAAAUGACAUAACGGAGGUAUUCAAAUUUUCAGAAUUGGAUUCCGACCCCGAUAUCAAAAAGUCAAUCCCCCGGUCAAACUUCCCAAAAAUUCAACUUUCGGCAUUUCAAGCCUAAUUCUACUACGGACCUCCAAAUAUUUUUCCUGACCGGCUCCUAAGUCCAAAAUAACCAUACGGAGCUAUUGAAAUUAUCAGAAUUUGAAUCCGAGGUCGUUUACAUAUAGGUCCAUAUCCGGUCAACUUUUUUAACUUAAAUUUUUAAUUAUGAGACUAAGUGUCUCAUUUCAUUCCGAAUUCCUUUCGGACCCGAACCAACUAACCCGAUAAGUCAUAAAUCAAUUGCAAGGCAUAAAUUGAGCAGUAAAUGGGGGAACGGGCUUAUAAUAUUCAAAACGAUCGGCCGAGUCGCUACAAAUUUCAACGAAGGUAAAAGAAACUAGUCUACUUCAUUGCCUACUUAUUGUAACUAAACAUACUAAUUUUAGCACUCAUCUAUUUUCUUUUAAUGAGCAGGAAGUAGAAUAAGAACCAAAGAAACUGAAAAGAACUCGGGUAUGUCAUUCUUCUUCACUUUCAAUCAAAUAGAACAAAAUUACAAGGUUGAAAGAUACCUAGAUUGCAGAAUUUUAGACGCAGCAGCAAGGUAAAGAAAAACGGCAACUAAACCCGACCAAAACCAACCAGAAACAGCAGCAAACAAACCAGUAAAACCAAUCAGAUUCACUUCCGAAAACGUGCAGAACCAAAAUCAGAAACUAAAGAAGAAGACUAAAGAAAACUUUUCUUUCUUUUGUGUUCUUUCAUUUUUCUGGAAUAUUUCUCAAAGAAGGAAGAUUGUAGAGAGUUUUUAAGUUACUCCAGAUGCUCUCAAGUGGUGUUUCAUUUUUCGUGAGUAAGGAUCUGUAUUAUAAGUAUAAGAGAGUGUCCUUUAUAGGAGAAGAUCAACCCUUUAAACAGGUAAAUAAAGUCAGAUUUUUUGGACAGAUUUUGGUUCACCAAAAGUCUGUCCAAAAGACUGACUUUGUGUGCUAAACACUGUUCAACAGCUAUCCAAAAGGUGAAAGGACAACCUGAAAAUCUGCUAUGUCAGAAGCAAGGAGAAAAAAUAUCAUUUCAGCCACCCUAUUAGUAAAACGUAGGGUACUAUUACUCUAUUUUGUGAUAAAAUAACCUAAACUUUAGAUUUUAACCAUCAGCACCAAACUACUUACUCAACACAAAUCAAACUUAAACAACUAUGGACUGUCAAAACAUAAAUAACUUUCAUUGUAACUAAUACUAAAACUAACUAGGCUAAAUCAAUUUGAUUUAUGCAACCAACAAUCGAUCAGGAUCAAGGAGUCACUAACUCAAGCUAAACAAAUACAAACUCAUUAACUAAAUAAUCAUUAUGUGCAGCUAAUCAGAGCUCCAUACUGCAUACCAACCAUCUAAAUCACAAACACUAACUAAAUAAGAUUCAUUGAGCAAUUGAGCUAUUGUUUUCGGGUAAGACAUCUAAACUAUUUGAUUUAAAGAAAAUACAUAAACUAAAAGAUCAUCAUGAAUAAGAAACAAACAGAAAAUUUUUAAGCUAAAACUAGGCCUAAACUAACUUCAAAGAAACAAAUAAAAUUUAAAAGGAAACAAGAGAUAAGGGUAUACCAAACGAAAGUGCCUAAUGCUAAUUCGAGCACCCGAAGACGCCAAAGAUGUCGGGUGGUGGUUGUCCGACCCCGAGGCACAUGUUUCUUUUUGGCAGAAGCUAUACCAAUAGAUUCCGGCAUCUUGCUAAAAGAAAAUAAUUGCCUUUGGGUCAGGAAACAAAAAGACGGAGAAGCAGUGGUGGUCGCCAAAAUUUUGGCUUCAAAAUAAUACUUAUGUGAUAUACACACUCAUGUAGGUAUUAAAUGGUGGUGAGGUCUCAAACUUGAUGAAUUUGAAGAGAAAAGGGCGGCUAGGGUUUCGGUUUUUUGGAGAUUCGUGGAGUUUGGUUGGGAUUUUGAGGCCUUGAGUUGGAGAUAUGGAGAGAGGAGGAGAUGGUGCGAUUUUGGGGGUGUUUGGGGCUAGCUGCCGGCGACGGCGCCGUGGAGAGGGGCAGCGACGGCAGAGGGGGGAAAGGAGAAAGAAGAAGGAGCUCUAGGGUUUGGGGUUAUGGGAGAA
This 4925-nucleotide long non-coding RNA is filed under the name Nicotiana tabacum (common tobacco). RNAcentral describes it as "long non-coding RNA (NTAB_LNC014174)". The record is from RNAcentral. Lineage: Eukaryota; Viridiplantae; Streptophyta; Magnoliopsida; Solanales; Solanaceae.